AAGUCGUAACAAGGUCUCCGUAGGUGAACCUGCGGAGGGAUCAUUACAAGUGACCCCGGCUACGGCCGGGAUGUUCAUAACCCUUUGUUGUCCGACUCUGUUGCCUCCGGGGCGACCCUGCCUUCGGGCGGGGGCUCCGGGUGGACACUUCAAACUCUUGCGUAACUUUGCAGUCUGAGUAAACUUAAUUAAUAAAUUAAAACUUUUAACAACGGAUCUCUUGGUUCUG
This 229-nucleotide unclassified non-coding RNA is filed under the name air metagenome. Its description in RNAcentral is "partial contains small subunit ribosomal RNA, internal transcribed spacer 1, and 5.8S ribosomal RNA". The stretch from base 1 to 46 matches the Rfam family "Eukaryotic small subunit ribosomal RNA", at positions 1786 to 1831 of the family's 1831-position model. The record is from RNAcentral.